CAGCCGCCGCGGUAAUACGGAGGGUGCAAGCGUUAAUCGGAAUUACUGGGCGUAAAGCGCACGCAGGCGGUCUGUCAAGUCAGAUGUGAAAUCCCCGGGCUUAACCUGGGAACUGCAUUUGAAACUGGCAGGCUAGAGUCUUGUAGAGGGGUGUAGAAUUCCAGGUGUAGCGGUGAAAUGCGUAGAGAUCUGGAGGAAUACCGGUGGCGAAGGCGGCCCCCUGGACAAAGACUGACGCUCAGGUGCGAAAGCGUGGGGAGCAAACAGGAUUAGAUACCCGGGUAGUCCCUGUCUCUUAUAC
RNAcentral lists this ribosomal RNA (301 nucleotides) under uncultured bacterium. RNAcentral's name for it is "partial 16S ribosomal RNA". It matches the Rfam family "Bacterial small subunit ribosomal RNA", at positions 509 to 807 of the family's 1533-position model. The record is from RNAcentral.